GGAAACGAUGUGGGAAGGCAUAGACAGCUAGGAGGUUGGCUUAGAAGCAGCCACCCUUUAAAGAAAGCGUAAUAGCUCACUAGUCGAGUCGGCCUGCGCGGAAGAUGUAACGGGGCUAAAACUAUGUGCCGAAGCUGCGGAUGUAUACUUUGUAUACGUGGUAGGGGAGCGUUCUGUAAGCCGAUGAAGGUGUGUUGAGAAGCAUGCUGGAGGUAUCAGAAGUGCGAAUGCUGACGUGAGUAACGACAAAACGGGUGAAAAACCCGUUCGCCGAAAGACCAAGGGUUCCAGUCCAACGUUAAUCGGGGCUGGGUGAGUCGACCCCUAAGGCGAGGCCGAAAGGCGUAGUCGAUGGGAAAAUGGUUAAUAUUCCAUUACUUCUGUGUAAUGCGAUGAGAGGACGGAGAAGGCUAAAUCAGCCUGGCGUUGGUUGUCCAGGUGAAAGGAUGUAGGCAUGUAUCUUAGGCAAAUCCGGGGUACUCUAUGCUGAGAUCUGAUAGCAAGCUGUACUUGUACAGCGAAGUGGUUGAUGCCAUGCUUCCAGGAAAAGUCUCUAAGCUUCAGUUACACAGGAAUCGUACCCGAAACCGACACAGGUGGUCAGGUCGAGUAGACCAAGGCGCUUGAGAGAACUCUGCUGAAGGAACUAGGCAAAAUGGUACCGUAACUUCGGGAGAAGGUACGCUGUUGUUGGUGAUGGAACUCGCUUCCUGAGCUGACGACAGCCGCAGAAACCAGGCCGCUGCAACUGUUUAUUAAAAACAUAGCACUCUGCAAACACGAAAGUGGACGUAUAGGGUGUGAUGCCUGCCCGGUGCUGGAAGGUUAAUUGAUGGGGUUAGCGUAAGCGAAGCUCUUGAUCGAAGCCCCAGUAAACGGCGGCCGUAACUAUAACGGUCCUAAGGUAGCGAAAUUCCUUGUCGGGUAAGUUCCGACCUGCACGAAUGGCAUAAUGAUGGCGGCGCUGUCUCCAGCAGAGGCUCAGUGAAAUCGAAAUCGCUGUGAAGAUGCAGUGUACCCGCGGCUAGACGGAAAGACCCCGUGAACCUUUACUGCAGCUUGACACUGAACUUUGACCUUACUUGUGUAGGAUAGGUGGGAGGCUUUGAAGCUGGAACGCUAGUUCCAGUGGAGCCGUCCUUGAAAUACCACCCUGGUAAUGUUGAGGUUCUAACUCUGUCCCGUGAUCCGGGACGAGGACCGUGUCUGGUGGGUAGUUUGACUGGGGCGGUCUCCUCCUAAAGAGUAACGGAGGAGUACGAAGGUGCGCUCAGCGUGGUCGGAAAUCACGCGUAGAGUAUAAAGGCAAAAGCGCGCUUAACUGCGAGACCCACAAGUCGAGCAGGUACGAAAGUAGGUCUUAGUGAUCCGGUGGUUCUGUAUGGAAGGGCCAUCGCUCAACGGAUAAAAGGUACUCUGGGGAUAACAGGCUGAUACCGCCCAAGAGUUCAUAUCGACGGCGGUGUUUGGCACCUCGAUGUCGGCUCAUCUCAUCCUGGGGCUGAAGCAGGUCCCAAGGGUAUGGCUGUUCGCCAUUUAAAGAGGUACGCGAGCUGGGUUUAGAACGUCGUGAGACAGUUCGGUCCCUAUCUACCGUGGGCGCUGGAAAUUUGAGAGGAUCUGCUCCUAGUACGAGAGGACCAGAGUGGACGAACCUCUGGUGUACCGGUUGUGACGCCAGUCGCAUCGCCGGGUAGCUAUGUUCGGAAGGGAUAACCGCUGAAAGCAUCUAAGCGGGAAGCCUACCUCAAGAUAAGAUUUCCCUAGGACUUUAUGUCCUCUAAAGAGCCGUUCGAGACUAGGACGUUGAUAGGUUGGAUGUGGAAGCAUAGUGAUAUGUGAAGCUGACCAAUACUAAUUGCUCGUGAGGCUUGACUA
RNAcentral lists this ribosomal RNA (1878 nucleotides) under Acinetobacter baumannii 1397084. RNAcentral's name for it is "bacterial LSU rRNA". It matches the Rfam family "Bacterial large subunit ribosomal RNA", at positions 1066 to 2925 of the family's 2925-position model. Lineage: Bacteria; Pseudomonadati; Pseudomonadota; Gammaproteobacteria; Moraxellales; Moraxellaceae. The record is from RNAcentral.